Molecule: transfer RNA, 72 nt
Filed under: Urocitellus parryii (Arctic ground squirrel)
Lineage: Eukaryota; Metazoa; Chordata; Mammalia; Rodentia; Sciuridae
Also listed under: 2 other names
Description: Spermophilus parryii (Arctic ground squirrel) tRNA
Rfam family: tRNA
About the family: Transfer RNA (tRNA) molecules are approximately 80 nucleotides in length. Their secondary structure includes four short double-helical elements and three loops (D, anti-codon, and T loops).
Source: Rfam by way of RNAcentral
GGGGGCAUAGCUCAGUGGUAGAAUGCUUGCCUAGCAUGCCUGAUGCCCUGGAUUCAAUACCCAGUACCACCA